GAUUGACCUCGGAUCAGGUAGGGAUACCCGCUGAACUUAAGCAUAUCAAUAAGCGGAGGAAAAGAAACAACAGGGAUUGACUCACUAACGGCGAUGAACGGCAACAGCUCAAAUUUGAAAUCUGGGCUUGGGCCCCGAUUGUAAUUUGUAGAGGAUGUUUCGGGUGAGGCACCGUUCUAAGUUCCCUUGGAACAGGGCGUCAUAGAGGGUGAGAAUCCCGUACGUGACCGGUGACCGAUCUCAUGUGAAACUCCUUCGACGAGUCGAGUUGUUUGGGAAUGCAGCUCAAAAUGGGUGGUAAAUUUCAUCUAAAGCUAAAUACUGGCCAGAGACCGAUAGCGCACAAGUAGAGUGAUCGAAAGAUGAAAAGCACUUUGGAAAGAGAGUUAAACAGUACGUGAAAUUGUUGAAAGGGAAGCGCUUGCAGCCAGACUCGCUCGGGGGUAAUCAACCGUUCUUCUGAUCGGUGCACUUUCCCCCGGUCGGGCCAGCAUCGGUUCGGACGGUCAGAUAAAGGUUUUGGGAAUGUAGCUCCUCUCGGGGAGUGUUAUAGCCCAGGACGUAA
RNAcentral lists this ribosomal RNA (565 nucleotides) under Stictis sp. 3-MW-2004. RNAcentral's name for it is "LSU rRNA". It matches the Rfam family "Eukaryotic large subunit ribosomal RNA", at positions 1 to 573 of the family's 3401-position model. Lineage: Eukaryota; Fungi; Ascomycota; Lecanoromycetes; Ostropales; Stictidaceae. The record is from RNAcentral.